Molecule: ribosomal RNA, 407 nt
Filed under: Colastes incertus
Lineage: Eukaryota; Metazoa; Arthropoda; Insecta; Hymenoptera; Braconidae
Description: eukaryotic LSU rRNA
Source: RNAcentral
CCUGAGAAACCCAAAAGAUCGAAUGGGGAGAUUCAUCGUCAGCUCAUUUUGUAUAUAUAUAAGUUAUGAUAUGGGUUACUACUUGUAGUAUUGCCUGUACAUUCUUGUAUAUUUAAUUGCAAGAUGUUGUCGGCGUGCACUUCUCCUCUAGUAGGACGUCGCGACCCGUUGAGUGUCGGUCUACGGCCCAAGUGGUAGUCUUUAAUUUUUUUUUAAAAUUGAAGACCCCUGGUGUUUCCUGACUGGCUACUCGGCGGUAUUCGUACGGUAUUAAGCCGCUAUUAUGCGUCCAUAUCCGUCGCAAGCGCGGUCAAUUUUUGGUAGUACGGACCUAGUGCCGUCGCUAUAAUUGAUCAGCUGUUGGUUGUACGGUAUUCUAGGACUGGCUUAAAAAUUAUAUACCGGUC